This 620-nucleotide ribosomal RNA is filed under the name uncultured bacterium. Its description in RNAcentral is "bacterial SSU rRNA". It matches the Rfam family "Bacterial small subunit ribosomal RNA", at positions 202 to 842 of the family's 1533-position model. The record is from RNAcentral.
AAAAACUCCGGUGGUAUGAGAUGGGCCCGCGUCUGAUUAGCUAGUUGGCGGGGUAACGGCCCACCAAGGCAACGAUCAGUAGCCGACCUGAGAGGGCGACCGGCCACAUUGGGACUGAGACACGGCCCAAACUCCUACGGGAGGCAGCAGUGGGGAAUAUUGCACAAUGGGGGAAACCCUGAUGCAGCGACGCCGCGUGAGCGAUGAAGUAUUUCGGUAUGUAAAGCUCUAUCAGCAGGGAAGAAGAUGACGGUACCUGACUAAGAAGCCCCGGCUAACUACGUGCCAGCAGCCGCGGUAAUACGCAGGGGGCAAGCGUUAUCCGGAUUUACUGGGUGUAAAGGGAGCGUAGACGGCGGUGCAAGCCAGAUGUGAAAGCCCGGGGCUCAACCCCGGGACUGCAUUUGGAACUGUAUGGCUGGAGUGUCGGAGAGGCAGGCGGAAUUCCUAGUGUAGCGGUGAAAUGCGUAGAUAUUAGGAGGAACACCAGUGGCGAAGGCGGCCUGCUGGACGAUGACUGACGUUGAGGCUCGAAAGCGUGGGGAGCAAACAGGAUUAGAUACCCUGGUAGUCCACGCCGUAAACGAUGACUACUAGGUGUCGGGCAGCAAAGCUGUUCG